RNAcentral lists this ribosomal RNA (339 nucleotides) under Triticum aestivum (bread wheat). Its description in RNAcentral is "partial small subunit ribosomal RNA". The record is from RNAcentral. Lineage: Eukaryota; Viridiplantae; Streptophyta; Magnoliopsida; Poales; Poaceae.
AUGAGGCCGGCGGCCGGAGAUGAUCCCGGAUCAGCGGGGACGCGGAAUCCGGCGUCGUCGGUCGGGGAGGCGUCCAGUGGAAGGUGGACUCGCUCCAGAGGAAGAUUGCUGGCGGCGGAGAACAGUGGCCCGGCGCAGUCAGUCGAAGAUUCUCGAGGCGAUCGGCGGAGGGAGGAGGGUUUCAGUGCGAGGAAGAAGCGGGCGGCAGCGGGCAGUGAAAGGAUGCUGUCCGCGGAGGAAGUCGCCUUAGCCGCCCGGCCGCUCCCUCCCCCGGAGCCUCCCUUCCCCAAAUCUGGCCGACAUGAUGAUGUGGUGGCUUGGAGUGAAGACCUAAUGUAG